GGCUCCGUAGCUCAGGGGAUGAGAGCACUCGGUUGCGAACCGAGAGGCCGCAGGUUCGAUUCCUGCCGGAGCCACCA
Molecule: transfer RNA, 77 nt
Filed under: Vitiosangium sp. GDMCC 1.1324
Lineage: Bacteria; Pseudomonadati; Myxococcota; Myxococcia; Myxococcales; Archangiaceae
Also listed under: 1 other name
Description: tRNA-Arg
Rfam family: tRNA
About the family: Transfer RNA (tRNA) molecules are approximately 80 nucleotides in length. Their secondary structure includes four short double-helical elements and three loops (D, anti-codon, and T loops).
Source: RNAcentral